GAUGAACGCUGGCGGCGCGCUUAAGACAUGCAAGUCGAACGGAACUUAGCCGAAUGUUUACAUGAGGCGAAAGUUUAGUGGCGGACGGGUGAGUAACACGUGAGUAACCUGCCUUAGAGAAUGGGACAACAGAGGGAAACUUCUGCUAAUACCGUAUAUGACCACAGUACCGCAUGGUACAGGGGUGAAAGGAGCAAUCCGCUCUAAGAUGGGCUCGCGGCUGAUUAGCUAGUUGGUGAGGUAACGGCCCACCAAGGCGACGAUCAGUAGCCGAACUGAGAGGUUGAUCGGCCACAUUGGGACUGAGACACGGCCCAGACUCCUACGGGAGGCAGCAGUCGGGAAUAUUGCACAAUGGGGGAAACCCUGAUGCAGCGACGCCGCGUAAAGGAAGAAGGUCUUCGGAUUGUAAACCUUUGUCGACAGGGAAGAAGAAAGUGACAGUACCUGUGGAGGAAGCCCCGGCUAACUACGUG
RNAcentral lists this ribosomal RNA (476 nucleotides) under uncultured bacterium. RNAcentral describes it as "bacterial SSU rRNA". It matches the Rfam family "Bacterial small subunit ribosomal RNA", at positions 28 to 507 of the family's 1533-position model. The record is from RNAcentral.